AGCAGCCGCGGUAAUUCCAGCUCCAAUAGCGUAUAUUAAAGUUGUUGCAGUUAAAAAGCUCGUAGUUGAAUUCCGGGAUUGGCGCAUCGGUCGUGCCUCACGGGGUAUGAACUGGUGCAGUCAAUUUCUCACCUUCUGGAGAACCGCGAUGUCCUUAAUUGGAUGCCGCGGGGAACCAGGACCUUUACUUUGAAAAAAUUAGAGUGUUUAAAGCAGGCAUUUUUGCUUGAAUACAUUAGCAUGGAAUAAUAAAAUAGGACGGCAUGGUUCUAUUUUGUUGGUUUCUAGGACCACCGUAAUGAUUAAUAGGGAUAGUUGGGGGCAUUAGUAUUCAAUUGUCAGAGGUGAAAUUCUUGGAUUUAUUGAAGACUAACUACUGCGAAAGCAUUUGCCAAGGAUGUUUUCAUUAAUCAAGAACGAAAGUUAGGGGAUCGAAGACGAUCAGAUACCGUCGUAGUCUUAACCAUAAACUAUGCCGACUAGGAAUCAGACGAUGUUAAUUUUUUAAUGACUCGUUUGG
RNAcentral lists this unclassified non-coding RNA (520 nucleotides) under uncultured Entrophospora. RNAcentral describes it as "SSU rRNA". It matches the Rfam family "Eukaryotic small subunit ribosomal RNA", at positions 569 to 1083 of the family's 1831-position model. Lineage: Eukaryota; Fungi; Glomeromycota; Glomeromycetes; Entrophosporales; Entrophosporaceae. The record is from RNAcentral.